GACGAACGCUGGCGGCGUGCUUAACACAUGCAAGUCGAACGGAAAGGCCCUGCUUUUGUGGGGUGCUCGAGUGGCGAACGGGUGAGUAACACGUGAGUAACCUGCCCUUGACUUUGGGAUAACUUCAGGAAACUGGGGCUAAUACCGGAUAGGAGCUCCUGCUGCAUGGUGGGGGUUGGAAAGUUUCGGCGGUUGGGGAUGGACUCGCGGCUUAUCAGCUUGUUGGUGGGGUAGUGGCUUACCAAGGCUUUGACGGGUAGCCGGCCUGAGAGGGUGACCGGCCACAUUGGGACUGAGACACGGCCCAGACCCCUACGGGAGGCAGCAGGGGGGAAUAUUGCCAAAGGGGGGGAAGCCUGAUGCAGCAACGCCGCGGGCGGGAUGACGGCCUUCGGGUUGUAAACCGCUUUCGCCUGGGACGAAGCGUGGGUGACGGUAAUGGGGAAAGAAGCACCGGCUAACUACGU
This 467-nucleotide ribosomal RNA is filed under the name uncultured bacterium. Its description in RNAcentral is "partial 16S ribosomal RNA". It matches the Rfam family "Bacterial small subunit ribosomal RNA", at positions 28 to 506 of the family's 1533-position model. The record is from RNAcentral.